GUAUUGUCCCUCCCCUAUUGUGAUCCUUGUGUUUGUCACACAGACCUACAAAUAAGGGCACUCCAAUUCAAAUGUUUUUCAGUUUAGGUUAAUAUCUAUGUAGACUCCCUGGUCUGGAGAGCUGGUCUAGUCUAUCAAGGUUUAGAUAAUGAGAAAUAAGUGAUAGGGAAUAUUAACAACUGAGAGAUCCUUUGCAGUGACCCAUUCAGAUGUCUUUGUUGCCAGGCUAUGAUUUCCCCACUUUGUGUGAUGAACAUGUACAACCAGGAA
Molecule: long non-coding RNA, 270 nt
Filed under: Bos taurus (domestic cattle)
Lineage: Eukaryota; Metazoa; Chordata; Mammalia; Artiodactyla; Bovidae
Description: long non-coding RNA NONBTAT024705
Source: RNAcentral